RNA transcript from Zea mays, 2159 nucleotides. It is a transcript of the gene named Polynucleotidyl transferase ribonuclease H-like superfamily protein, with no coding region annotated. The transcript is spliced from 6 exons. The record is from RefSeq and is marked predicted. NCBI's taxonomy places the organism in Eukaryota, Viridiplantae, Streptophyta, Magnoliopsida, Poales, Poaceae.
CAGUUCGUACUUGCCGUUGUCCAUCUGCCAUCAGAUCGUUUAUCCUACUAAUCUAGGCCGUCCAAAUCGGUAGUUUCAGUUCCUUCACUUGUCUGCAUCCCCCUUCCCCUAACUCCGCCGCCACUGCCGUCCGCGCUCGCCGUCGCCCCGAACCUAUCGCCCACUGCAUUUUUCCGGCGGAGGUAUGCGAUGAGGCUGCUGCAAGCGGAGGAGCUAUUUCGGAAGGUUCUGGAGGUCGGGUCGAAGAAUAAGGCGGCUCGGCUGCUGGGGCUCGACGUCGGCAGCAAGUACGUCGGGGUGGCCAUCUCCGAUGAGAAGAACAGGGUCGCUAUGCCUCUGAGAUUUGGUAAACUGUGCGAGUCUGUUACACCCGACCUUCAUCCGUUUUCCCUUUGCUCAAUCAGGCUGGGUCAAGCAGGUCAGACUAUAUAUCUGAUAGGGUGUUUUAGUCUAAACCUUUUUUCUCUUAUCCCUUGUGUACUUCUCUGGAGUUUUGUAACAAUUUCCUCUGUUGCUGUCACACAGUUAAGUCUGAGAAGAUUCGAAUAUCUUCCUUUCCUUGUCCCUUGUGUACUUGCCUGGAGUUUUGCAAUAAUUGCCUCUGUUGCUGUCACAAAGUUAAGUCUGAGAAGAUUCAGAUUACAAGCUCAACAAGAUAAUUUGUUGUUUUAUGGAUAUUGGCUAUAUUCCUAAAAUCUACUUAGUUUCUUUAUAGCCAAAUCUAUAUCUUGUGAAAAAAAUGUAACAACUGCAAUUCAGACGAUAGUUUACAUUCAUGUACUUGUUAGAAAAGGACAUGUAUCAUUAUCUGUGGCUAAGAUCCUUAUUGAAUGAAUCUUGCAGUGUUUUGUGUCGGACAAAAACAAACAUCAACUUGAUGGCAGAUGAUUUCAAAACAUUGGUUUCGAUGUAUUCCAUAGCUGGGUUCGUUGUGGGCUAUCCAUUCAAAAUCUAUGGUCAACCUUGUGCAAGUGCAAUCCAAGUAAGUCUUGCUGGGGAACUUUGUAAAACAGGGAAACUUGAUGAUCUGCCCUACGCAUAUUGGGAUGAAAAUUUCACCUCAAAGUGUGUAGAAGCCCUCUUGCAUCCCCUGAAUCUAAAAGACUUGGACGAUGCCAAAACAAUGACAGACAAAUUUGCUGCAGUCUGUAUACUCCAGGGUUAUCUUGACAACAUGAACAGAAAACUGAGAUCCACAGAUAAGUCUGAAGCAUAAAGGUGGCACCUAAGAUUCCAGUUUGAACUAAACCAAAGAGCAAGGGAACCUUUUUUUUGAUAGAACAGGAGGGGAGGGCCCCUACUGAAAAUUUUAUUUAAAAUUUGAAAAGAAAACAAAGUUUAGAACAAACAAGAAGACAAAUUACAGGGGGUUAGGGAGAGUUUGUACUGCCAUUGUUUUCUACUGCCAUUGUUGAAGCCAAGUCGGGAUGGCAGAAUCAAAUCUACCCAAAGCUCUGUGAAUGACAAGGAGCAAUUCAUUUGCAAACUCCUGCUUGCAAUGUUGCACCGUUGGAUCUUUGUUUUGAAAAAGCCAAGCAUUGCGGCACUUCCAAAUGCUCAAAGUCAUGAGAAUAAUAACCUCCAUAGAGAAUGGGACAUUGAGUUGCUGUUUUAGGUUUGCCGCAGCCUCCUCUGGAUUAACAAUUCUAGGUGGAAUCAGACCGAUUGAGUGCCAGCAGGCCUUCGCGAAGUUGCACCUGAGGAAUAGAUGAUAAAAAGUUUCUUCCUUCUGGCAGAUGCAGUUCUCGCAGGUGUAAAACUCAAGAGUCAUGUUCUUCCUCCUAAGCAUAUUCCUUGUGUUGAGCCUAUUUUUUAGCCAUAGCCAAUAAAAGACUUUAUGCUUAGGUUGACAUUUGUUCUUCCAGAGCGAUCUGUAAAUCUGAUGAACUUGAGACUGACCCAUCAAAUGCUUGUAAGUCUGCUUCGUAGAGAAGAUUUCAGAUCCCCAAAUGAGCUUCCAAGUGUCCUUAGCGUUGGUCACUGUGAUUUGUCCCUAGGUCUCGUUUAGUUCAAGAUACUGCUCGUAGGCUUGCAUAGACAGAGGGAGCUGAAAAAUCUCAAGGAGAUGCUCUUUUUGCUUAGCUUCUUUGAUAGAGUUUGGUGUUGCAAGCAAAUGAAAAUAAUUCCGGGUAUUGCUGAGCCGGGAUGCCCUUGUUCCA